CUGUGUGGUUGUACAAAUCAUAUUAAUCUUGAUGUAUGGAUUAAUGGCAAGUUCUUUGAUGCAUACAACUUAACAAUUAUUGCCUGCUACUUCCUGGCCUUGACGGAAAUUUUUCCUCCAAAAGGGUUCUGCAAGGCUUUCCAUUCCCAACAUGCAGGUACGUCAUGUGGUAUUAUUAUUAUGGUGGGAAUUUUUAAGAUUUACUUUGUCUUUAUAUAUUCCCAGUUGAUACCAAAAAACACAGUUUACAGAGGAUAAAAUGGAGAGGACUCUUUGUUCGGGUUACGAAUGGAGAGGACUCUUUAUGUAUUCAGAUUGCAGUUCCCCACG
This 330-nucleotide long non-coding RNA is filed under the name Elaeis guineensis (African oil palm). RNAcentral describes it as "long non-coding RNA (EGUI_LNC040952)". The record is from RNAcentral. Lineage: Eukaryota; Viridiplantae; Streptophyta; Magnoliopsida; Arecales; Arecaceae.